GCGCCCGUAGCUCAGUUGGUAGAGCGGCUCCCUUUUAAGGAGAAGGUCGGGGGAUCGUAACCCUCCGGGCGCA
Molecule: transfer RNA, 73 nt
Filed under: Patescibacteria group bacterium
Lineage: Bacteria
Description: tRNA-Lys
Rfam family: tRNA
About the family: Transfer RNA (tRNA) molecules are approximately 80 nucleotides in length. Their secondary structure includes four short double-helical elements and three loops (D, anti-codon, and T loops).
Source: RNAcentral